This 497-nucleotide ribosomal RNA is filed under the name Amerotyphlops reticulatus (reticulate worm snake). RNAcentral's name for it is "partial large subunit ribosomal RNA". It matches the Rfam family "Bacterial large subunit ribosomal RNA", at positions 1814 to 2593 of the family's 2925-position model. Lineage: Eukaryota; Metazoa; Chordata; Lepidosauria; Squamata; Typhlopidae. The record is from RNAcentral.
CAUAGCCUUUAGCUUAACAAGUAUUAAAGGUAAUGCCUGCCCAGUGAAACUUUUUAACGGCCGCGGUACCCUAACCGUGCAAAGGUAGCGUAAUCAUUUGUCCACUAAUUAUGGACCAGUAUGAAAGGCCACAUGAGAAUCUAACUGUCUCUUGUAACCGAUUUAUAAAACUGAUCUCCCAGUUCAAAAGCUGGGAUUAAACCAUAAGACGAGAAGACCCUGUGAAGCUUUAAAAAUCCUAUUAAACCAAUUAACGGGUAUUUUUAGUUGGGGCAACUUUGGAAAACAAUCUAACCUCCAAGACAAACACUUCACAAAGACCUACAAGUCAACCACGACCCAGUAAAACUGAGAAAUGAACUAAGUUACUCCAGGGAUAACAGCGCAAUCUUCUUCAAGAGCCCAUAUCAAAAAGAAGGUUUACGACCUCGAUGUUGGAUCAGGACACCCAAAUGGCGCAGCCGCUAUUAAAGGUUCGUUUGUUCAACGAUUAAUAG